ACAAUUAGUUUGGUCCAGAAUUAAAAAGUAGUCAACCUGUAUUUGAGUGCGACGGGGGUGUUUUCUUUCCAAUGAUUUUAUAUUUGGGCUAAAUUUUUGGAUAUGAAUUUGCUAGCUUAAUAUGACAAGAUAUUUCGGCUGUUAUUUCAGCUAAGGCCGCCUUAAGCCUCUUUGUAUUAAUCCCUCCUAUUGGAGAGUAAAUCCUUUCUAUAUCAAUCAACUAGUUCUUUCAAAAAAAAUUUUUUAAUGAAUUUUGUCUAUAUGAACAACAUAUGAAUCAUUUAACAAUAUUUAAGGCCCAAAAAAACUUUUAGUAAAUAAGAAACACAAUGGUAAAAACCUCAUUUUCCAUCAAUUAGAAUAAAUUAUGCUC
This 373-nucleotide long non-coding RNA is filed under the name Brassica napus (rape). RNAcentral's name for it is "long non-coding RNA (BNAP_LNC024912)". Lineage: Eukaryota; Viridiplantae; Streptophyta; Magnoliopsida; Brassicales; Brassicaceae. The record is from RNAcentral.